GAUGAACGCUGGCGGCGUGCCUAAUACAUGCAAGUCGAGCGAACGGACGAGAAGCUUGCUUCUCUGAUGUUAGCGGCGGACGGGUGAGUAACACGUGGAUAACCUACCUAUAAGACUGGGAUAACUUCGGGAAACCGUAGCUAAUACCGGAUAAUAUUUUGAACCGCAUGGUUCAAAAGUGAAAGACGGUCUUGCUGUCACCUAUAGAUGGAUCCGCGCUGCAUUAGCUAGUUGGUAAGGUAACGGCUUACCAAGGCAACGAUGCAUAGCCGGCCUGAGAGGGUGAUCGGCCACACUGGAACUGAGACACGGUCCAGACUCCUACGGGAGGCAGCAGUAGGGAAUCUUCCGCAAUGGGCGAAAGCCUGACGGAGCAACGCCGCGUGAGUGAUGAAGGUCUUCGGAUCGUAAAACUCUGUUAUUAGGGAAGAACAUAUGUGUAAGUAACUGUGCACAUCUUGACGGUACCUAAUCAGAAAGCCACGGCUAACUACGUG
This 497-nucleotide ribosomal RNA is filed under the name uncultured bacterium. Its description in RNAcentral is "partial 16S ribosomal RNA". It matches the Rfam family "Bacterial small subunit ribosomal RNA", at positions 28 to 507 of the family's 1533-position model. The record is from RNAcentral.